GAUGAACGCUGGCGGCGUGCCCAACUACAUGCAAGUCGAGCGAACGGACGAGAAGCUUGCUUCUCUGAUGUUAGCGGCGGACGGGUGAGUAACACGUGGAUAACCUACCUAUAAGACUGGGAUAACUUCGGGAAACCGGAGCUAAUACCGGAUAAUAUUUUGAACCGCAUGGUUCAAAAGUGAAAGACGGUCUUGCUGUCACUUAUAGAUGGAUCCGCGCUGCAUUAGCUAGUUGGUAAGGUAACGGCUUACCAAGGCAACGAUGCAUAGCCGACCUGAGAGGGUGAUCGGCCACACUGGAACUGAGACACGGUCCAGACUCCUACGGGAGGCAGCAGUAGGGAAUCUUCCGCAAUGGGCGAAAGCCUGACGGAGCAACGCCGCGUGAGUGAUGAAGGUCUUCGGAUCGUAAAACUCUGUUAUUAGGGAAGAACAUAUGUGUAAGUAACUGUGCACAUCUUGACGGUACCUAAUCAGAAAGCCACGGCUAACUACGUGCCAGCAGCCGCGGUAAUACGUAGGUGGCAAGCGUUAUCCGGAAUUAUUGGGCGUAAAGCGCGCGUAGGCGGUUUUUUAAGUCUGAUGUGAAAGCCUACGGCUCAACCGUGGAGGGUCAUUGGAAACUGGAAAACUUGAGUGCAGAAGAGGAAAGUGGAAUUCCAUGUGUAGCGGUGAAAUGCGCAGAGAUAUGGAGGAACACCAGUGGCGAAGGCGACUUUCUGGUCUGUAACUGACGCUGAUGUGCGAAAGCGUGGGGAUCAAACAGGAUUAGAUACCCUGGUAGUCCACGCCGUAAACGAUGAGUGCUAAGUGUUAGGGGGUUUCCGCCCCUUAGUGCUGCAGCUAACGC
Molecule: ribosomal RNA, 850 nt
Filed under: uncultured Staphylococcus sp.
Lineage: Bacteria; Bacillati; Bacillota; Bacilli; Caryophanales; Staphylococcaceae
Description: bacterial SSU rRNA
Rfam family: Bacterial small subunit ribosomal RNA
Source: RNAcentral